AGUAGAAUAGCUAGGUCAAAUGGUGAUUUCAUUCCAGGCUUUCUGAGGAAUUUCUGUACUGCUUUCCAGAGUGGUUGCACAAUUUGCAGUCCCACCAGCAAA
RNAcentral lists this microRNA precursor (102 nucleotides) under Marmota monax (woodchuck). The record is from RNAcentral. Lineage: Eukaryota; Metazoa; Chordata; Mammalia; Rodentia; Sciuridae.